UCGUCAUUGUAGACAAUUUCUAAUUUGAAUUAACAAAGUUUUGAAUGAAAACCGUCGUCGGCUAUCGAUCGUCAUGGUAGACAUUUUCUGAGGAGUUGCAGAAUUGCGUUUAAUUUUUCAUCUUUAAGUAAAGCAGCGGUGACAAAGGUGUUUAAUAUCGUCUGUGACUUAAUUAGAACUAAACAGUCUUAACGGAUAUUUGUUUGUGUGUUUUACUACAGCUGCAGAAUAAUGGCCUAGAUAACUGUGCCCAUGAUGCUAGACAACCUGCCAGUUAUCAGAACUAAUCUGAUAAACUUGUACGUUAAUUAAAGCCACAGGAAGGAGGAGCCCAUUAUGAUAAUGACCUGAAUAGUGGUUUAGGAGAAGGAUUGAGUUUUGUUUUAUUUAUUAUAAAAUAAUAUAGUGCGAAGACGUUAUCAAGGAAAUGAUCCAUGUAGGAGUUACCGAGCGCAGGUGAUAGGGUCAACGUUUCAUCAAGGCUGGAAGCACAAGAACUGUUUAGUUUGGCAGUGGUGAACGAAGAUUAGGUUGUUCAAAAUGCCCAGCGUUCCAGACGCCAAGUAGUAUGCCAACAUGGACGUCUUUAGUCAGACCGACGCCAUGGACAGAAGCAGUCAGUGACGAAUGGGUUGUGUUUGAACAUGGAAUAAGAUGGGCUUCCCUGUUACUAAUGAGCCUUAGCCCCCUCUAACGGCAAAGGAAAUACUGAUGGUGAGAUAGACGACAAAGGUGACCCUCGAGUGUACGAAAGUAAGGUUAACGUGAUCAGAACGACCCUUCGUUUGCCGGCAGCAAACUUUAAAGAGAGAUUAGCUUCGGGAGGCUUACUGACGACACCGCUGAAAAGCGGGUCUCUGGACACGAUUCGAUUCUGUGAUGGUAUUCAAACAUCUUUCGGCAAUUCACCAUCCUCGGGCGUGAAUAAGCAGUCACGCAAGCCUUUCGCUUUCUGAACGACUUCAGAGGUGAGGUCAUUCGCGUAGAAAGUUUGUGCUUAGUGGGUUCCCACUCAGCUUUUUAUGGGAGGAAAAAAACAGAGAGAUCCCUCUGAGCUCUUACAGUCUGACACAAGUGGAUCUGAAACUUUCUGCCAUAAAAAAGAAAAGAGUUUCGGCUUUACACCAAGGAAAAUGUGGACAAACACUCUCGAUAAUUCCAUGUCAGUUAACAUAAUGUAGUAUCAAAAGAAGGUUAAAGAUAAUACUUUAAUCCAUAUUCAACAGUUUGUAUUAUCAAAGAUAAAGUUAUUUAAAAUACUGGCUAAACAUCCCAGAUUACUGUUGAGCCAGGCAGUGAUUGUAUAACGUCAUAAAACCACUCACUGCCUCACAUUCCACAUCUACGUUAUGAUCAAGAACUAAACUGGGACGCUGAGAGAAAAAUGUAAAAGCAUUAUACCUGUUAAGAAGCUACGACAAGUCAGACCUACCAAUUCAAGCUAGCCACUUUAUCAUAAAACUUUAUGAAAGGUGAGAGGAAUUUUGAAAAGGAAGUCAAGGCUUCUGAGUCAAUGGCAGUUAUCACAGUUUCCAACAUUUAAAAAAUAUAUAACUAAGAGCUUAUACACAGAAACUGAAAAUAUUUGCAGGCUUACAAUAAAACUCGCUGAGUCGUCUAUAUGAAUUAUCAGAAAAAAUCCCCCUCCAACCCCUACACUCAAACACACAUUCACAAGCAUCAAAAUGAUAGCUAUUUGGCAUUUAGCCAGAAACUCUGUCAGAUGUAGGUCUACAUCUUCUUUAACUAAAACAAAACAAAAACCAAAACAGCUGUUCCUUUUGAAACACUCAAGCCUUUUAACAUGCAACUACAAGAAUGAUAAAUCUGUAUCUCAGUUCGAAAUUGAAGAGUACUGGACUAGCUAGUCCAGACUACCAUACCAUAGGGAUAUGUUGAAUUUACUUUUAUGUGCUUUAUUGUGUAUCAUAAAAAUAUGUUGUAACAUUGUUACAUAAAUAACUGUUGCUUCAAACUUAUAAACUUUCGGGUAAGUAUGAGCUUUAAGGUAUAUCUUUCAAAAAUCACAUCUCUAAUUAAUAUUUACAUAACUUAUAUAUAUAUUAUGUGUAUGCAUAAUUAAGGUUAUUUUAACUUUAAUUCCUUAAGUGUUUAGGUACAUAUCAAAAUAAGCCAAUUAUUAUCAAUACUGAGAUAUUCACCUAUAGUGGUCUUACACAUCUGAGAUGGCAAUGUUAAAGUGUUUUAUGUUUUUGUUUUAGCGCAAAGCUGCAGUAUAGGCUAUCUGCGCUGUGACCGUCACCCAGAAUUCUAGCACUGCAAGCCUUCCUGGUGGAACAAAAAAAGUAAAAGUCAAACUAUCUCUCGCAGAGGUUAAAGUUCUUACCUCUGACGACUCAAAGUUGCUUACUCUUCCCAGCUGUUAAAAAUAAAUAAAAUAAAAACAAAUACGCGACAAUAUUAUCUACGUACGUUAGAUAUUCGUUUUGUCAGUUCUCAUUUAAAGCUACAAUAGCAUCUUUGAUAAAGUCACAAUUUUCUUAAUCUUUGCAGUUAUCUUACAUUCACAGAUUUAUUGAGUUCUAUGUUUGUUUGUUUGUU
This 2562-nucleotide long non-coding RNA is filed under the name Limulus polyphemus (Atlantic horseshoe crab). Its description in RNAcentral is "uncharacterized LOC111087231, transcript variant X2". The record is from RNAcentral. Lineage: Eukaryota; Metazoa; Arthropoda; Merostomata; Xiphosura; Limulidae.